RNAcentral lists this unclassified non-coding RNA (273 nucleotides) under Sebacina sp. RNAcentral's name for it is "partial contains 5.8S ribosomal RNA, internal transcribed spacer 2, and large subunit ribosomal RNA". The record is from RNAcentral. Lineage: Eukaryota; Fungi; Basidiomycota; Agaricomycetes; Sebacinales; Sebacinaceae.
AACGCACAUUGCGCCCCUUGGUAUUCCGGGGGGCAUGCCUGUUCGAGCGUCAUUACACCAAUCAAGCACAGCUUGGCAUUAGGUCCUUCGUCCGCGGUCAAACGCGGGCGGGCCUCAAAACCUUCGGCGGAGUCAAACCGGCUUUGGGCGUAGCAGAAUCUGUCAAAACGUUCAUGUGGUCGGGUGGUCUUCAGCCGCCAAUCUAAUCGUCCCGGACGAUUUAUUUUUCUCAAGGUUGACCUCGGAUCAGGUAGGAAUACCCGCUGAACUUAA